Molecule: non-coding RNA, 1695 nt
Organism: Cyanistes caeruleus (blue tit)
Lineage: Eukaryota; Metazoa; Chordata; Aves; Passeriformes; Paridae
Source: RefSeq, a predicted model, not a curated record
GCCCGACCUCACCCCCCGACCCCACCUCCCGAGAGCGGGACCGAUACCGUCCUACCCGACAAUCCUCUCCCGGCGCCCCCAUCCGCUGCCCCUACUCGCGACCCACUCUUGGGGACCCCCCUACUACAACCCCCCUUUGGGCCUCUCCUCACUCUGAUCCCUCCCUUUGGGGUCUUCUUUUGAGGGCUGGUCUCCUCCUUUCCUCUGUCCCCCUUUAUUGCCCCCCGGGGCAGGUACUGGCCCUCCUCGUGGUGUCUGGGGAAUUGCGUGCGAUACUGGAAAUGGAGCGCCGGGAUUUGGGGCACACUGGGAAUGAAGGGCACUGGGAGAGAAUGGGGACACUGGGGACAAGUGGGACACCAAAUACUGGUCGGGGGGACAGGUUGGGGGGAUACACCAGAGAUAGGAGUAGAUACACUGGGGACAGCGGGGACAAUGGGAAUAGGUUUGGGGACCCUGGGAAUUGGUGGGGGUCACACUGGGAAUGGGUUGUGGGGACACUGGAAAUUGGAGAACAUAUGGGGUCACCACUCUUCCCUCUUACCAUGGAUCUGGGGACACAGUCCUGACUCUGCCCCCUGUCCCCAGAACCCUCCGGGCCCCUUCCUGAGUCCUGGACUUUGCUCCUUGCCCCUUGGCGAUAAGGCCAGAGGAAAAUUCCAUCCUGGGGAGGGGAGAGAGAGGAGCUGGGAGAGUCUAAUCCCGGGAGAGCUUGAUCCAGGUGAUCCUGAUCCCAGGAAAAGCUUCUCCUGGGAGCACCUAAUUCUGAGACCACCUGAUCCCAGGAUCACCUCAUCCCAGGAGAACCUGGUCUUGGCAGCACCUGAUCCUGGAAAAUUCCAGCUGGCAGAGAAUUCUGGAAUCACCUUAUUCCAGGAGAAUUUGAUCCUGAGAGAACCUUAUCCAAAGAGCACAUCCUUCCAGGGAGAAGCUCAUCCAGGGAGAUCCCAGGAGAUCCUUAUUCCACAAUCACCCCAUUCUGGGACCACUUUAUCCAAGGAGAACCUUGCCCCAGGAUCACUUUAUCCCAGGAUUAUCUCCUUCUAGGAGAAGCUCAUCCUGGGACCCCCCCAUCCCAAUACCUUCUGCUAAUCUCAGGGCCAGGGUCCCUCCUGGUGCAUUUCAGGGUGUCCCUGUGUUCUCCUGCCAUGGCUGAGCCCUCUGGGAUUGGGGACAGCAUCCCAUUGGAUGAUCCUGGUCUGGACAUUGCCGCUGGGGAGGAAUUCCUGCAGGAAGUGUUCCAGAUCCUGUUGGAGGAGGGCGUGCGGAAAAGCAUGGACGUGACACAGAAGGUGUGUGACUGGAAGGAGCCGCAAGAGCUGCGGGAGUUGCUGGAUCUGGAGCUCCGGAGCGACGGGGAGGGGCGGGAGCGGCUCCUGCAGCGCUGCCGGGAUGUGCUGCGCCUCAGCGUCCGCACCGGUGCGCUCCCAGUACACACCAGUGCACGCCGGUACACAAUAGGACAGCCCCAGGGCAGGCCCGGUGUCUCCCAGUUCAGCCCUGCACAAACUCCCAGUUUGACAAGGCACCUACCUCCUACUUCAGCCCAGCCGGUCCUGUUUCAGCCCCAGCGGUUCCCAGUGUUGGCCCGCGGUGCCACCCAGUGUCAAACGUUGUGGUGUCUGCCAUAUGCCCCCUGAUCUUCCGUGUCUCCCUUGACCGUUCCUGUGCCCCCCCAUUUCCCCCCACAUCCAC